RNAcentral lists this long non-coding RNA (3554 nucleotides) under Triticum aestivum (bread wheat). Its description in RNAcentral is "long non-coding RNA (TAES_LNC020895)". Lineage: Eukaryota; Viridiplantae; Streptophyta; Magnoliopsida; Poales; Poaceae. The record is from RNAcentral.
UUUUUUUCUCUUGCUUUUUUUAACUUUUUUUCUUUCUCUUUUUUCUUUGCCUUUUUUUCUCUCUCCCUCUUUUCAAGACAAACUAGAUAAGAUGCAGAUUGGAUCUAGCAAAAAUGUGAAUGACCUCAACUAUGAUUGUGACAAUGAACAAUGGGUAGCAUGUGGUGGAAAUUGAUGGAUGAGUGGUGGAUAGCGGAAGGGAUAACGAUGUCGCGGCGGCGUGACUAAUGUGAACAGAACUCGAAACUUUAAAUGAACUAGACACUAAGACAAGCAACUUGACACGACGAUGCAACCGAUAAUUCAACUAUGCAAGCAAUGAAAAGAAAAUUACAAAGGCUCAGACUGGCUUGGAUAAACGAUAAAUAGAUCUAACUUUUUUGUGGCUUUUUCUUGGACAAUAUGUAAGAAAAAAAUCUAAUCUACGAAAAACUGGAAAUUCCCACCGAGGAACCUGAAAACUGAUAUCACUUGAUAGAGGCGAGGGACCCGAUAUUUCGAUGAGAUGAUAACUAUCGAUUUGGUGGAGCCGACUUUGACGAUCCGACUACAAACGUGCAAGACAUUGCACCUUAGCAAUCGCUAAACCAAUUUCGAGUGGUUAUUGACCACGUCGGAGCACGAUCAACCUGACCACGAGGGUCUGUUUCCUGUGAGCAAACGGAGAACAAGUAAGAAACUAAGAUUGCAAUCUGGAUAUUGCGAAUAUAAGAGGAAACCUUUAUUCAUUAAGGUGGCGUUCUGUGACGCCUUUGUCGGGUAGUUGAACACAAACGAAGUACGCGAAGUUGCAGCUAUGACGAACUUUAAUCUAAACAAAACCCAAGAAAAAAGCUGCUAGAUGGAUCUAAUUAUAUAGGAGCAAGGGGUGGCGGCCAAGGAGGUAGGAGGACGUCCCAAGGCAGUCUAAAACUAACCCUAGGUCGUACAAGGCUCAUGGCUCCAAGUGGAGGUGAUGCUACACCAUUGGGCUUGUAGUUUGACUCGGAUUCUACUGCAAGUCAGAUUGUUUCGUCCAUAACUUGACGCUACAGACAAAUUUGAAGGUGAAUCCAAUUGUGUUGGAAAGAGCACGAAAUCUACUUUCAAACAAAAAAGAAUCACCCAAUUCGGAGUCCGUAUGAAAAAGUUGUUAGUGUUUUAAGUCAGCUAUGUCCGUGAGAGACUUGGAUUCUAUCUUCUCUUGGCCCAAAAGUGACGUGAGAGGACUUUUUAAACUGCACCUAAACUUCUCUUUUCCCUUAUCUUCAUGUGGAUUGUACAAAUGUCCCAUAUACCUGCAAUUAGACGUGGCACAAAAGAUUUGUGAAGUAUUUUUUGUCCUGGAUGACAUAAAUAAAUUAUUGCAUAGUUUGCAUUAGAAAUCACCUCACGAAUAUACAUGUAUGCAAUAUCUUUGGUCGUAUCCAAGGUAGCCAUGUCCUCGUCACACUUGAAAGGGUGUGUUUUAUUAAGUAUCUGGUUCUAGUUGUCAUAAGGUCAAGGUACAACUCCGGGUCGUCCUUUUACCGAGGGACACGGUUAUUCGAAUAGAUAAACUUUCCUGUAGGGGCGCACCAUAUUUCCCAACACGCUCGAUCCCUCUGGACGGGCACACUUUUCUGGGUCAUGUCCAGCCUCAGAAAAUCAACACGUCGCAGCCACACCUAGGCACAACAGAGAGCUCAGCACGCCGGUCUAAAUCCUAAGCGCGCUGGGGUCAGGGCCCAUUGCACACCUGCAGGUUGCGUGGGUAGCUGGUAAGCAGACCUAAUCUCCCUAAUACAAGAGCAGACGUUCCAGCCCAAUCCGGCGCGCGUCGCUCAGUCGCUGACGUCAAGAAGGCUUCGGCUGAUACCACGACGUCGAGUGCCUAUAAUUAUUCCCGCGUAGUUGGUUAGUGCGUAUAGGCCAGUGGACAGACUCAGAUCAAAUACUAAGAUCUCGUUAUGUGUGUUAUUUUGAAGCAACCGCGAACGCCGACCAGGGACCAGGCCCACCUAUCUCCUAGGAGGUCACAACCUGCCCUGUCGCUCCGUCACAAAGUAACAGUCGGGGGGCCGUCGGGAACCCAGGCCCAUCACUACCUGGAUGGAACCAUCUGCCCCUUCAGCCCCCAUAUUCGAAUCACUUGCGGGUACUCAACGAGCGACCCGACUUUAGUCACAACAUGUAUCAUAUAUCAUGUAUUAUAAGUAUAUACCCGUGAUCACCUCCCUAGUGAUCACGGCCCGAUAGUAUAGCAUCGAAGACGGACAAGAAUGUGGGGCCACUGAUGAUAAACUAGCAUCCUAUACUAAGCAUUUAGGACUGCAGGUAAGUUAUCAACAACUGUAGCAACAAUGACAGGCUAUGCAAUAGAAUAGGAUAAACCGAAAGCAGCAACAUGCUACACUACUCUAAUGCAAGCAGUAGAGAGAAGAAUAGGCGAUAUCUGGUGAUCAACGGAGGGGGGCCUACCUGGUUGCUCUGCAGACAGAAACAUACCCUCGAAGGUGAAUUAGUUGAUCACUGGUUCAACCGCGGUCUCGGGGUCUACCGAAGAAGUAACGGAGGGGAAUAUAAUAAAUAAUGAAGCAAUCAAAGCAUCACAAAGCAUAACAUGGCAAUACACGGUGUUAGGGAUGACCUAACACAGUACUAGUGCUACCGACGAAAGGGGGAAACAUCUGAGAGAGUAUUUCCGAUGUUUCGUGUUUUCGGACAGACAAACCGAAGGGAGAAAGUUGGAUGUUCGCCGUGCUAGGGACGUGUGGUUAGCAAACAGACUGUGUAUCGGAUUCGUCUUGUCGUUCUGAGGAACUUUCGUGUACAAAGUAUUUUCAUCCGAGCUACGAAUUAUUUUAUAUUAAUUUUCAAAGUUCUAAAUAUAUUCUAAAAUUAUUUAUUUAUUUUAAUUCGAAAAUACAGUUAAACAAUAUAUGCUACAGGUAUAUGAAAGUGUAUCAAGAGAAGUGCAAGUGAGACUAACAGUGGGGCCCAGUUGCUGAGUCAGCAGAGGACCCAGUCAACCUUAUCAACUAGAACAGUACACAUGGUCCCACAUGUCAUGGACUGUAGGGGUAAUUAAGGAUCAAUUUUAAACGUGUUUAAUUAAUGCGGUGAGCCCCACAUGUAAGUGGCUAUUUGGAUUAUUUUAAUUAGUCUGUUAAUUAUGCCCGCGAUUAAUUAGGUGUGGGUCCCAUUCGUCGGUGACUCAGAGCGUAAUUAGGAGCUGGGUUAAAGGUGCCACAUCAGCACCACCGGAGAAAUCCGUCAGCGACCAAAUCAGAGGCGGAGGGCUCGGGACCUGGUCGGAAAUCCGCCACAGGCGUCGGCUUGACGCGCAGCUUGGUGCGUUCGGACGCCCGCGGCAGCGCGCAUCGAACGGUGGUCGUGGCAGCAGCGGGGGUGGCCGAACGUGGCCGGAGAAGCAACGGCAGCGGCGGCCGGAGCAAGGCAACGACAGCAGCACGCUAAGGCUCCAAUCCGAGGGCGAACAUGAGGGGUUUGACGCAGUAGCUCACCGCGAGCUCUUUGCCGGGGUCGAGGUAGCCGGAGGGCGUCGAUGGCGAGCGGCUCAACGGGGAUCGGAG